Zalophus californianus (California sea lion) is the source of this 938-nucleotide long non-coding RNA. RefSeq lists it as uncharacterized. Lineage: Eukaryota; Metazoa; Chordata; Mammalia; Carnivora; Otariidae. The transcript has 5 exons. The record is from RefSeq and is a predicted model, not a curated record.
CACGAUGCCUCCGUGCAAGAGAAUUACCGUCUAGGGGCGGGAGAAACAGAUACUAAAUGAGGAAGCGAACAGAACAUUUGACAAAGGGACGGCCAGAAGUGCUAUCGUGGAGAUGAGUGAAAUAGUGUGAUGGAGAAUAAUGAGGAAGACCAGGGAAGGUCACCUUUAAGGAAAUGCUUGAAAAUGAGGAGUCAGACAUAGAACAAGGAAGCAGGUAUUGAUGCCAGAUAACUCUGUAGUCCUCAUUCUCACACUUUCAUGGGGCAGAAGAACAGCGGAGUGGAAAAAGCAUGGGUUUGAUUCUUGCCUUUGCAUCACAAAAGCUGUGUGACUUUGGCCCUGUGAGUAUUAUUGUCCCUACUUUCCAGCUCUGGAAACUGAGGCGUAGGAAGAGAAGGCAACUUGCCCAAAGUCACAGCCGAGGCUCCUCCCCUAUGAAUGCCAGACACUCACUCCCCAGCCUCCGCUGCAGCUAAGGCAUGCACAUAUGAGCUCCUUCUGGCCAGCGAGACAUAAGGGAAAGCCUUCAAAGGACUUCUAAGAAGGAUUUUCCUUGAAGAUUAAGAUCAUCACAGAGAGGUCACCCGAUGGCUGCCAGAAACCACGGGUCGCCGUUGUGCGUCAGUCCUCCAAAGUCAACCUUGUCAUCCCACAGAUGCUGUCAGAGGCCACGUCUGAAUGCCAUGCCAAAACAACGAGCCCAGAAGGAACAUUUGGUCAAUCUGGUUUGUCAGAAAGCCAAAAAAUAAGACAUUUGUUCGAUUGAAUUCAUGCAAGAGUCGGUUUGUUUUAUUUUUAGCUGAAUUUAGUCUUGUUGGCAAGCGUAUCUAGGCAGAGGUCUUGUCUCCUAGGGUUACAAGAGCCCACGUAGUCAACAGCCACCACAACAAAAAUGUGUCCGCUUCCCCCCCACACCCCGAUCUUCGUCUUAUCUCCAU